This 1071-nucleotide long non-coding RNA is filed under the name Vulpes vulpes (red fox). RNAcentral describes it as "lncRNA (ENSVVUG00000008932.1)". Lineage: Eukaryota; Metazoa; Chordata; Mammalia; Carnivora; Canidae. The record is from RNAcentral.
CAGAGAUAGACUUAUUGAGUUCUGCUACUGCCUUCAAACAUCACGUAUUGUAGCUCUGCUCCCACCCUCAGUGUUUCUCUGUUUUCAUGCAGGUGAACUUCAGUUAAUAGGAAACUAGAAAGAAGAAUGGUGGAUGCGUUGUUCUCCCUUCUUGGAUGCUGAGGAAAUGAUUUCAUACAUAGUGUUUCUAAACAACUCCUGCCGCAGCCUCCUGUGACAGCCAAGAGGUGUGUUUUUUUUAUGAAGCUAAAGAAGACAGUGAGGACAAGGUGGAGGACGAGGAAGACAAGAACAAUGAGGAGGAGGAAGAGGAAGAUGCUGUGUCUGUUCUGGCCCAGGAUGAGCCCUAGGGACUAUACUACCAACUCCCAGGCUGCACUGAUGCCUGAGCACUCCCACCACAGAAGAAGCAUUGACAAGACUGGAGAACUUCCAUUAUUCCUAGGCAGUUUCUAAUUUGGGGUGGAUUUUGGUUUUGCCCUCUCCCCUCCUUUUAUUUGUAAGGUGUUUUGUCUCUGAUUCUUCUUCAGCCCCUCAGCCUUCAUCUUUCUUGAUUGAUAUCUUUGCUUUCCUGUUUCUUCUCUCUCCAGAUCCCUUAGUUUCUCUUCCACUUGUGGGCACCAAAGUGUGGAGGAGAAGUCCCAGCCCCAAGAUUCCAUCUGCCUUCCUACUUGGACCCUGGAAGAAGUCAGGAAAACAGAGUGGCCUUCCUCUGAGGCCGUCAUUAACUUAAUUAUUAUUUAUCUAGAUUAAUACAUUUCUACCUGAGGCAAGUACCUCUCCUGCCCUUACCCUAGUCUUUGCCCUGCAACAUCCUUGUCAGUAUUCAAAACGAUGUUCAAAUGUCACCUUCUUAAUAUGCUCUUUCUCAAUAAGCCAGGCAGGAUGUGCAUAAUCCUCUCUCCUUUGGUUUCUGAAUUCAUUUAGAUAGAUCUACUAAUUAGUAUUUGAAUUACAUUUCCAGCAAAUAACAUCUUAUUUACAUUAUCUAAUUUAGGAUAAUGUAUGGCUGUUAUAAUUUAGAGAUCUUCUUUAAGGAAAAAAAUAAAAUUACAAAGAUAUAAUCUGCCA